GCCAUGGGUACGUGGGUGGAGGAAAAGCCUGGUAGCACGGCCGGAGUACGGGGAGAGUGAAGCUAAUGUGCCAGUCGUGAGCGCGAUUCUGUCGCGCCGCGUACUUGAGGAGCCGCACGCGGCGAAGAAGCGGCGUAACGGAGGGCUGAAAGAAGCGCGACGGAAGAGGGAGCCUUUCCCCCCUUUGAAAAAGAAGACCGGGACUCCUCUAUCUCGCCCGUGGGGAUCGAGGGGCGCGUUCAGUCCGUCCACGUUCGCUGUCGGGAACGCGACCGGAAGACAAAUCUUCCCCGCGAGAGAGACCGCUUCUUUUUCUUCUUCUUCUUCUUCUUCCUAUUCCAGAAGGCAGGAACUGAACGGAGAAACUCCCUUUUCGUCGAACUGUAAGAGGCAAAGUCGUCUUCCGCGGUUCUAUGAAUUUUCCCCCAAGUUCUCAAUCAGUCGUCACGCGCGACUUCGAUUGUUGUGAACAUUGCGAAUUUUUGCGAAACAAUUUCGAGUGAGUGGUUUCGGAGCAAGUUAAUACUUUCAAGAGGACGAGAUUACCGGCAAUUAGAAGAUCGCCGUAGAAAGUCCUCUCUUUGGGAAAAGAGUUCAAGGAACGAGGCACACGAAAAAAAAAAAAAUAAUAAUAAUGUUUCGCGGAAAAGAACGGUCGACAUCGAUUGGUGGAUGAUUAACGGCUGAACGAGAGGUCAUACAACCGCGGGACUCGCCGGCGCGAAAAGGGAAAAGGGAACGGAGUGGUUGCUGGUCGACGGAAGGCUGGUGGUCGUCGUAUGGGGAGGAAAAGAGCGAAGAAACGCUAGAGUGUGGCGCGCGAGACGAGAGAUCGCAAUGAAAGUCAAUAAACCGUGAUGAGUAACGGAGAGUAUAGUGGUCGGAGUGGCAUUAAUAAAUUAGUGUCUACUUGCUGCUACAAGCAACAGCAGCGGCAGCAGCAGUAGCAGGAGUUCGGAGGAGGAAGAGGACAAAGAGGAGGAGGUGGUGGAGGAGGCGACGGAGGAGGUGGAAGAGGAGGAGGAGGCGCGGACCUCGAGUGUGUGUGUGUGUAUGUGUGUGUGUGUGUGUGUGCGUCGGUGUGCGUGCGUGCGAAUACUUGUGACCAGCCGUGUCGAUGCGCGGGGAUUUGGCCAGUGUGUCAGUGUGAAAGAAGACAAUUGACUCGCAGCCGCCGUCCGUCGGACGGUGCUCAGCUCGGCGGGGGCCUUCUGACGUCACAUCCUGCCCCGCGGCCUGUACGAGAGCCGCGAUCUCAUCUGGACCGCGGCGAACGAAGCGAAUGAGGAACGAUGAUCUACCGCGACAAAAGGAUCCUCGGGAUCCUUGUCCUGCUCAACGUAAUCGCAAAGAUGCCGGCGAAUCAGACGGAUUCGCCGAAAACGGAUAUCAUCGAAGAAACGGAAGAAUUUACUACAACCAAAAGGAUUCUGCCCGACAGAUGUCUUGUCAAGACAGAACCGGGACCCUGCAAGCACUACGUACACAAAUGGACUUUCAACAAGGCCGAAGGAAAGUGCCGAACUUUUCCUUACGGCGGGUGUUUGGGAAAUGAAAAUCGAUUUAAUUCGGAAGCGGAGUGCCUCUAUUAUUGCAUCGGUGGUGCCGAUCAUACGCUACCGCCUUAUCUUGUAACAAAGGGCAGCGUAUUUGUCGCAACGAGCACCACGACAAUGAGCACUCCACCCUCGACAACCACUAGCACACCACGACCGACCUUUACACCCCCGAAACCGACGAAACCGCCGGUACCGAGGCACCUACGAGGAAAGGAAUUGACUUUCAUGGAAUCUGGUCACGAGAAAACGUUUAUGUUCGCACAAAGCAAUACUUUCAUCCAGCUCGAUGGCCCUGGCAUCAAAACCUUCCAAUUGAGAUUAUGUCGCGAGAUAUCCUUCAAGUUUCGCACCAAGCUUCCACACGGUUUACUAGUUUAUCACAGUGUCAAAGAUCGCCCGGAGAGCCUCGACCCUUACGCCCUUUAUGUAAUAGUAGAGAAGGGUCAGUUGAAAGUUGUUCAUGUAUUCGGCAAACAGUCGACCAGUUUGAUAGUCGGCCAAGGGCUCAACAGAGAUGAGUGGCACAGCGUUCUCGUGAGAAUAGAUGUACACGGGGCAAAGUUAAUCGCCAGAGUCGAUGAUAAGCAAGCCGAAACUACUCUGAAAGUUUUAGAGCGCAUCGUUAAUUACGGUGUGUCCGAAGAACUGGCCUCGGUCGUUCUUAUCGGAGGUGAGCCUUCUUAUGAAAAAUCUCUUUCCCCACGGAGAAUUUUUUUUUUUUUGCAUCUUUAUCGCUUUAAUUUCGUUUCCACAGGGCUGAGUUCUGAAGAACGAUUGCAUGGAGUGAAAUACAUAAUAGAAUCUUUCGUCGGCUGCAUCAGGGAUAUGGUUCUGAGUUCCGGAAAAUCCGCCAGCGAUUUACUGCCCAUUCGACCACUAAUCGCGACAAAGCACGAGAACGUUAAGGAAGGAUGUAUCGAUAAGUGCAGGACACGAGAGAACCUGUGCUUCGUUCCUGAUCAAUGUGUGAAUCACUACAAUAGUCUGACGUGUGAUUGUUUCGGCACGAAUUACGAGGGUGAACGUUGCGAUGUGUACACCGCGACUAUACUGACGCUCAGAGGCUCCUCGUACGUGUCCUUUCGCGUGUACGAUUGGAAGGAUCGUGUUCACUCGUCUGUCAACAGGAUCAGCCUCGCUUUUAAGACGAAAUGGGACAAUUCCGUGUUGUUUUACGCUUCCGGCGAAAUCGACGGCACGCCGCAUUACAUUGCAGCUUCCAUUGUAAACGAGUCAGUUCACGUUGAACUUGAUUUCGGGCAUAACUCGAAGAUCUCCACUACAUUGGGCGAUUACGUCACGUCCGACCAUUGGAACAACUUGUCCAUAUUUCAUAAUGGAUCCUCCGUCCUCGUCAGCUUAGACGACGAGGUCAAGAUACUAGAGAUACCGGGAGAAAAUUGGGAUAUGAUCAUCGAUCCGGAGAUAUACAUCGGUGGUGGUCCGGAGCUCCACAAGAAGAAGGGUCUUUUGUCACACAAUAAUUUUGCAGGUUCGUUGAAGUAUGUGUUCUUCAACGACAAGUCGAUUAUAUACGAAUUGAAGCGCUCCAACCCUAUGGUACACUACAUCGGUGUGCUGGAACCGGAAUACUACGAAGCCGAUGUCGAAGUCAUUCCGAUCACGUAUCCUUUCGCGGGAAGUCAUAUCUGGUGGCCGAUCGAGCGAACCGAUUCGCUGAAGUUAAACUUUGACUUUAAAAGCUCAAUGCCGAUUGCGAUCGUCGCUUCCGGAGAUGUGAAGAGCAAUCGCGGUAUUGGUUACUGGGAGUUACGUCAAGUCAACGACGAAAUUCGUUUCCAAUUGGUACCAGUUUUAACGGAAAAUGUAACGGUAUCAACUUCGGUGAAGUUUCCGCCUUACAACACGUCUUGGCACGCGGUCGAACUUAAUUAUACAAAGGGUGAACUCAAUAUCCUCCUUGAUUACAGAAAUAAGCAGAAUAAACUUUUCGCUAUGACGUUUGAGCUAGGAGAUAAAGUCAUUAUAGGAAGUGGCAAAAGUAACGCGGGUCUAGUAGGAUGUAUGCGCGAGAUACGAGUGAACGGUGAAAGAAUCGAACCUAGAUACGUAAUUAACACCGAGAGAGUGGUCGGAGAAGUCGCUUUAGACAAUUGUCAAUUUGUGGAUCCGUGCAAGAGGCCGAACACUUGCGAACAUGGCGGUAAAUGUUCGGUCAAAGAGGACAGGAUCACGUGCGAUUGUGCAGACACUGGAUAUAUUGGAAAGAACUGUCACUUUGCACAAUACAGAAAAACUUGCGAGGAAUUGGCUCUUUUGGGAUACACGCAAGAUGACGUUUAUAGAAUCGACAUCGAUGGAAACGGACGAUUUCCGCCCGCCAUGGUAAAGUGUGAAUUCCAAUCGAUUGAAGAUUCGACUAAAACGAUCGUCGAGCACAAUUUACCCUCCCAAGUGGACGUCAGAUCUAUUAUCGAGAGCGACUUCUCCUUCAGCAUCAAGUACAGGCAGUUCACCGCCGAAAUGCUGCAGGAGCUGAUCUCGCACUCGCUUUAUUGUAGCCAGUACGUAAAGUACGACUGUUACAAGGCACCCUUGGAGCUGCACAGCGCCACGUGGUUCUUAGGUUCCAAAGGUACCACCGUCGAUUACAUCGGCAACGUCAAUCGCGGAUCCUGUCCUUGUGGAAUGAACAGAACAUGCGUGAACUCUAACUUGAGCUGCAACUGCGACGUGUCUGCCGGAACCGCCGGAAAGUGGCUGUCAGACGAGGGAUACUACGAAACACCCGAUUCCUUGGGCAUCACCGGGAUGGUAUUCUUGCAACAGAGAGAUCUCGAGGAAGAUGCUCGGGGACGUAUCACCCUAGGACCAUUGGAAUGCGUUGAAACAAAUACACAAAAAUACGUGGUAACGUUCACGACGUCGCAAUCGUACAUCGAAGUGCCUGGUUGGAGGAAGGGUGAUAUAGCCUUCAGCUUUCGAACGACAGGCGAGAAAGCUAUUCUUCUGUAUCAACCACCGAUACGGAGCAACUAUCCUUCUUUCAUGGUCGCUCUAACGUCGGAAUAUCGGUUGACCUUUAAUUUUACCCUGAAUACCGGUACCAAUCGCGAAUUACAAGUGGAAAGCCGUCGAAAACUGAAUAAUGGCGAGUGGCAGAAGAUUUGGAUCGACUACAAUGACUAUCACGUGAGAUUUAUGAUCAACACUGACUUUCGAAUGGUGGAUUUCUAUUCCGAAGAGGAAUUCGGGCCCUUCGAGGGGUCUAUGUUCAUCGGCGGUGCUACUGCAGAGCACUUGAAGACUUCUUCCGUUCGACAAGGUCUCAUCGGUUGCUUCCGCGGUCUCGUUGUCAACGGAGAAAUAUUAGACAUCCACAGUUACAUGUCGGUACACUUGUCGGAAAUUAUUAAAGACUGCAAGCCUUCAUGCCAGCCUAAUAAGUGUCAAAACGGCGCUAGGUGCGUCGAGUUGUGGAGCAAUUUCGAAUGCGUGUGCGAAAAUCGAUGGGCACACUUAGGCACUUAUUGCGAGACAAACAUCAACAAUAAAGCUUUAACAUUUACCUCACCCGGAGCGUUCUUGAAGAAGAAUUACUUCGGAUCGGACGACAACGAAGAAAGGUUGCAGCUAAAAAGCAUGCUACUGGAAAAUAUUUUAAUUAAUUUAAGAACUUACGAUACCCAUUCUCUGAUACUUUAUGCGAACGAUCAUUUAAACAAUUUCGUACACCUGUACAUUUCGAACGGCACCAACAUCGUGUACCUUUUCAACGCUGGCAACGAAAUCAAGAAUAUCACUGUGGAAAAUCCGAAUGUCAACACGGGAAUCUCCAUGCAGAUUGCUAUAAUUCGAGGCGAGAAUUGGACCACGUUGUUCGUGAAUGAAUAUAAUGUCACGUUAAACGCGACACCGAUACUCCUAGACUCGUACUCGAAUAAGCCUUGGACGAAUCCAGAGAAAGAAGUUCUUGCACCGCAGCGACCGCCAGCACCUCCCACUGAUUAUUUCCAAGUAAAUUUAGGAGGAUUUGAUCCUGAUAAUCUGCUCAGAGUCGGAAAAGAAGGCGCCUUAAUUCAAGGUUACGUUGGUUGUUUGCGAGGACUCAUGAUCGGCAAAUAUCUCGUCGAUCUACCGAGCUUAGCUAGCGAAGCGAAUCACGAAGGGAGUAAAGGUGUUCUGCCUAAUUGUCAAAUGAAAUGCGACACGAUGCCCUGUAAAAAUUUAGGAAUCUGCACGGAGGAUUUCGGCAGGCAAGAAUCUUCUUGCAAUUGCGAGUUGACGUCCUAUUUCGGCGAACAUUGUGCCGAUGAAAAGGGCGCCGAUUUCAGCGGGGAAAGUGUACUGCAGCGCGAAUUCGAACUCGAGGGCGAGGUGAAUCAGGUGAAAGUACAGCUGGCAUUCUCAACGAACGAACUACGACAGCGAACCACCGCGUUGCUGCUGGUACAGACUGACAACAAAAGGAGCUACUACUUGUUGGUGGCCUUGACGUCCGAGGGACAGCUCAUCUUCGAAGAGGACAGGGACGGCUCGGCGGCCGGAGUACGCCUAAGCGAUCGGAAUUUCCUGAACGGUGCACGUCACAGCGUCUACUAUGUUCGCGAUAACAACACGGCUGUUCUCUUAAUUGACCGUGAGCCCGUCCAAUUGCUACCGAUUCCAGGAAUACCGAUACCAGAUGAGGACGAAACACCGGGUGCCACGGAGAUACAGCUUGGUGGAUUGAACACCACCGAUUCGCGAUUUAGCGCCUACAAGGGAUACACCGGCUGUCUCAGCAACGUCGUGAUAUCGAUCAAUGGAGGCGCCGACAUGAAACCGUUAGAGGAAUAUAUGCUCUUUACGAAGCAGGGCAGUGAAACUGUGCGGGCUACGAUACCUGCCGGCGUUAGAAGCGCUCAAUGUGCGGUUUUCCAUGUUCAACCAGGUGGUCUUGAACCACCCAAGAACGACAGCGUGGGCCGUGAUAAAGCGUGGGUCGAGGAUCCACCGGAAAGGAUCCUAUAUAAAUCGCAAUAUUCGGGCGCCACUCAGGAAGAGCAGGGUGCAGGAACGUACAUCUUUAUAGCCCUGUGCUGCGUCUUCGUAGCCGCGGUGAUCGGAUGUAUUUACGAGGUGUGGCGAAGUGCGCGCAAGGAUCGCCGACGACGUCGCGACGCGGCCUCGGGAGCGGUCGCGACCGCCGCCUCCGGUGGUUCGCAGAGGUGGCAACCGCAACAGUACACGGAAUCCCUGGUCACCGCGACCGGCGUGAAAGCAAUCGGCUUCAAGAACGUGAUGGACGACGACAAGAGGCCGAAUGGAACUCAUGUGAAAGUGCCCAAUGCCAAAGAAUACAAACCACUGCCGAAUUCGGAACCAAAGGACUUAAUGAACGACAAGAAAGUUCACAUUAAAGCAGACGAAGAACCAGAGAAAAAGGAGCUCCUAGGGGUAAAUACAGGCAUCGUCAUUAAACCUGUGAAACCGAACCCAUUCUCAAUGGAGGACCUAAGGGAAGAACCCGAACUGGAAGAACGCGAGGAAGAGGAGGAGGAAGAGGAAGAGGAAGAGGACACCCAAGAGCAGGAGGUAGACGAAAACAAAGAUGAACCUCAGGAAUAUCAGCAAGAGGAGCAAAAGGACGCGAGUAAUGAUCAAGACGGCGAGCUUCUCGUUAUGCCGCACAGGGAUUGGUCUAAUGUUGAGGAGAGCGUUAUACCGUUAGACUCCAUUUUAAAACCCGACGAAACGAAAACAUCGUGCGAAUUAUAGAGGCGCCUGUGGACGGAGACAUUGGAAGACAAUCGAAGAUGCAAGGAAACUACCUAGCACCAGGCAGGCCGAUAACUUUCAAUACGUCUCCUAUCUUCUUGCCGGACGGCCAACGAACUUUCGGCAAUCCAUUGAGCUAUCUCGGUGGUCCAAAAUUACCAUCGAGGAAUAGAUCCUCUAUCGAAUCAGUGUUAUCACUGGACUGAUCGUGGAUCGUCCGUACUUUGCUCUAAAGGACUAUUGUGAACAUCCACAGGAACAACGAAAUCGUAUUCCUCAAUCAAAUCGGAAAGUCUCGAACGUGUUGAGUGCCAAAAUCAUAAAUAUCACUUGUACAUGUUUUUUAAUAUACACGUUAUUAUAUCAAAUAGAUUAAGAGAAAAAAAAGAAAGAGAGUCGUGUUUAGAUUAUUCGAACAGUACAGAAAGUCUAAAAUACGUCAAAAAGACGCUUGUACAUUUGAAACAAAUAACAGACAUCUUUUAGACUUUUGAACAAUUAAUCGUUCGCUAUAAUAAUUGCUACAAGAAAUGUCUGUCGAUUAAUUAACUUAAUGAAUGUUAAAGAAUGCACUUAACACAUUUGACAUUUUCCAUUUUUGGUUCAUCAUUCAUUAUCGCAGAGUUAUCCGCUUCUCAAAAAGGCUCGUGUUAAUAGCUCAUCACACUGAGCUAUAAGCUAAAAAUAGUUUCAUCAAAAGAGAUUCGCUCGGACCAAUAUUACGAUCGGCGAAUUUUACUCGUGACAAGACGUUAUAGUUGCUACAAUAAAGAUUUGAAACGUGAUAACGAGCUUAACAAUAGUGACUAGUGAUCGUGACGGACGCGAUACGUUCUCUUUGCAGCUGAUGAAAAGCUGUCGUGCUCAAAUAUAUCGUUCUAUACAAUCUCAUGAAGGUGCUUGUAAAAAAUAUCUUGUAAGUCUGUAGGAUAAUAAUUUCUUAUCUCUAUUAUUGUAAAGAGCGAGCUCAUAAAACAGUUUCUCCAAUCUUGAAGAAUCUCAAAAGUAUAAAGAAAAGUCCACUCUUUUUUUUUUAUCCUUCAUCUCCGCAGAAUUUUAUGCAGUCAUGGAUUAUUAUGGCAAAUGAGUUCCAAGCUGCAGGUAAUUUCGAUUCAUAUUAACUUAAUUCAAGUUUAGAUAGAAUCGUUUUAAAGAAAAGUUUUAAUUAUAUAAUCUGAUACUAAUUUUUUCCAUGUAAUAAAGAAUAAAAAAUUAAUAAUUUUAUUCAUUAAAAAAAUAAUAUGGGUAUAGCUUGACAAAAUAAUCACUGAUUGAGUUAUUUAGAAUUUGUCAAAGUUACUCCGAAAUCAUCGAUAAACAUAAAUUUAUCGAUAAAUUAUCGAUAUAUUAUCAAUAACAUAUUAUCCGGUGUGUAACAAGGCGUACCACUCUACGCCGAAGGAUUCGCCUAAACGAUAUGCAUGACUUCCGGUUACCGGUACUAUCGGCUUAAUCAUAUAUGUUAAUUGCCCGCGCGAACUAACAGAGAUCGAAUAAUCCUUUUAGUAUUUCGAGAUUAAUGGUGAAGACGCUUUUGUUUUUAUAAAAUAAAUGUAUUAAAUAUCUGUAUAACAGAAAGCACGUUUAUCUUCUCGAUGUAUUAAAUGUUUGAUUUUAUUUUAUAUAAAAACGAAUAUAACUUUUUUAAAGAUAAUAUUAAACUUAUUGUUGAACAAGCUUUUCUGUUCUAUUUUCGUAAUUUCCGAAAUAAUAGUCGGAUUUUAAUUAAUUUCGCAUACAGCUGAAAGUUACCAUUAAAUUUUCGAUUUUACGAUAAAGCACAAAAUAUAAAAAUCACCGAACACUAAUACUAUCUUUAACUGUUACUUCUAGCACAAAAGGUUGUGUCUGUAAAAUUUCUUUUGUUAUUAAAUUUCUUACCUGUAAUCCUCCUCGUUGCUGGCAUAAUCGGGCAGUAUAAUAUAAUAAUAAAUAAAAAAUAAAUAAAUAAUGUAUAGAUGAGUAUUCUUGUAUCAAAGACAUGAAAUAAUCUUAGUGAAUAAAAUUCGCUGAUAAAAAUGUGUGAGGAAAUUCUUGGAAAGCAAGAUAAUAAAAGGCAACAUUAUUUUUAUUUUAAACAGUAAAUUUGUCGAGUUUUUCUCUACUACUGUAUUAAUAUCUUAUAAUCAAGGUUGAGUGAGUUUAUAGAUUUUUUUUUAACUAAUUAACUUAAACUCAGUAGUUAAUAAAAUUAAUUUAAUUAUGUUAAAAGUAUACAUGAACAAAAAAUCAAUUAGUUAAAAGUAACAUUAAGAUAUAAAAUUAAUUUAAGUUAAAUUAAAAGUUAAUUUUGAAAAACAUUGUUCAUAUUAAUUUUUAAGUAGAUAAGUGGAGUGGUCGUAACACUUCCGAGGUAAUGUAGAAAUGCAGGAUUAGAAAUUUUGUCCUGGAAAAGAAAAAUAAAAAGCAGUUCACAAGUA
Molecule: RNA transcript, 9700 nt
Organism: Solenopsis invicta (red fire ant)
Lineage: Eukaryota; Metazoa; Arthropoda; Insecta; Hymenoptera; Formicidae
Gene: axo
Exons: 29
Source: RefSeq, a predicted model, not a curated record